RNAcentral lists this long non-coding RNA (2368 nucleotides) under Malus domestica (apple). RNAcentral's name for it is "long non-coding RNA (MDOM_LNC004967)". Lineage: Eukaryota; Viridiplantae; Streptophyta; Magnoliopsida; Rosales; Rosaceae. The record is from RNAcentral.
GGAACAGAUAAUAUUUAUCGAAACUUCAAUGCGUCAGUAGAAGCUGGCUGCUUGCAAAGACAAGAACAUCAAUAUAUAUGCAUUGGAAUUUGUUGCGCUGUAAGUAGCUUUAUAGGCACUCUAUGCCAUUGUCAAUACAUCAGUUUAUAUAGCAGCAAAAUUGUUUCUUAUCAACUACUUUUUUGUCCCUUUUUUUGCUGAGGCUUUGUAUCAUGUGGACUUCAAUUGGUGAGUAUCACUUCGAUGUUGAUAUAGUUUAUUUUGUUGCAGAGGAUAUGAAGAAGUGGAAAGGUCCCUGAUAGAAUGGGAGUUUUGCUGCUUAAGACAAAGAAUGGUAACUUAGUUAUUUCGUUUGCUUUUUAGCUGUUUCAUUUGCUUCGUACAAUGCAUUUCAGUUUUUUCAACUCCUUGCAAAAGGUGAAACUGAAUAUAUACAACAAUUUUCUAUUUGUGCAUCAAUAGAUUAUUGUGACUAAUUUAAAGAAAUUGUUGCAAUUUGGUAUCAAUUGUGUUCAGUUGUUUGGAAGCAUGACUAUGUCUGCAAGAGAUUUACUGAGGAUCCAGAUUGCAUCAUGUUCUUAAUGAGCUUGAAAGAGGAGUUGCUCUUCACCUGACAAUUGCAUCGCAUGUGAGUAAUGUCUUCUGUUACAUUUUUUAAAUUGUGUUUUCAUGUCUAAAUUAUUGAGAAUUAAGUUAUACAUAAGGGGAUUAAGUGAUUUAAAGACGUUGCAUUUUAGAAUAGGUUUUCUUAAUCGACCCGUGGUGGAACCUAGCUGUUGAGAGGCAACCAUAAGAUAGAAUCCACCGGAUAGGGCAGUACAAACAGAUCAAGUACACAUUUUUCUUCAGUUAUACAAAGUUUUCUCAACUAUACAUUCCAAAAAAUCUAUGUUAAUAUCUCUAAUAUUUUCUUCUCCAUUGCAGAUUUAUGAGAUUGGUUUGGAAUUUGAUUAUUUCAAUUCUUUUUUUUCUAGAUUAUAUUUCAAGGUUAGUCGCUAAACUCUCUCCUUUUUUAUUGGUUUUUGUUAUUAGAUUAUUCUUUGUUGCUUUGGAUUUAAGCUAUUGUUCAAUGUCUUUUCGUAUGAGUUCUGCUUUUUGCAUCGUUCUUUUUUGUUAUUAAUGUUGGAUUGUUGGCUUAUAAAUUUAGAGUGGGUUGCUUUAGAUUUUACUUUAAGUGGCUUUCGAAUUGAUUGCUGGGUUUUAAUUUAGAGCACUAUCUAAUCAAAUGAAAGGCCAAGAGUUUCUAUUUGAAUGAUGGUCCUAGAUCAUUUCAUUCGUUCCAGAAAUGUUAAUGAAUUUGAAGACUUAAAAUCCAAACUAAAGAGUAGCAUUAUCUUGGAUUGCCUAUCUUAGCAUGAUGAUUUUAAAUUACAACUUUGAAAUUUACAUUUGGAGUGUAUUUUCAUGUACAGGACAAGGUGUGGAUUAGAUAGCAGUAUCUGGUUGGAAGACAAGAUUUUGUAAAAGAAAGGGUAAGAAAAUGCUGAUGAAUUGUCUUUGUUGAUCUGUGCAUGUAAGAGCUCUUACUGAUUAUUUUGUUUUCUUUUGGCCAUGUAAAAGCUCUGUACAUAGAGUUCACAAUACAUGCAUAGUUUUUCAUUGUUCUAAAAUUUUUAAGUUCCUAUAAAUCUUUUCCUGCAUUUAUGAAUUCUAAAUAAAUGCAAAUCAUACAAAUAAUCAGAGUGGAUAAAAUUAUUGGCUUAUAUGCAUUUUUGCAGCUGGAAAUUUUUGGUAAAUACUUAACCUCUUAAUCAAAGCCUAUAUAUGCCAAUUGGUUUUGUAAGUAGCAUCAAAUAAUUAAUUGUUUUUUUCUUGGUAAGUGCCUAAAUGUUUACACUUUUAGUUUAACAGAAAAUGAUAAAUUGAGACAAAGUUGGAACCUAAUAAAUCAAUAUUAGCAAACCCAUGAACUUAUUUCGUGAUUAUCACGAUAUUGUUUCAAUAUUCUACUUUUGCUUGCAAUUCUGUUCUCUCUAGGACAUUAAGGUGCAUUUUUGGUUUUUAAGUUUCUCCGCCACAUAACAGCUGUUUGAUUGUGAUUUCUUUGUGAGAUUGGAUAUAUGAUUUAAAAAUUUGUUAACAAAUUUUAAUUGUGAUUCAAUUGUUUUUUCAAUCAUGUAAGAAGAUGCAAUCUAAGCGACUAUAAAAGAUGUUGACUAUGCUUUGGUUGAUCAAAAAAUAGAAACAUCACGUCUGUAUUGUGAAGAGGAAAUGGAGAGCAAUCUGUCUCAGUUUUGGAAUGUACUGGAAUCAAAGAAGCUAACUCAAGGUGCUAACUUUGAAUUUCCCCGAAAUAUCUUUUUUUUUAUUAAUUAUUUAGACGUAGAAAUUCUCCAUGUUAUUUUUAUUAAUUAUUUAUUUGGGAGUG